Molecule: long non-coding RNA, 255 nt
Organism: Fukomys damarensis (Damara mole-rat)
Lineage: Eukaryota; Metazoa; Chordata; Mammalia; Rodentia; Bathyergidae
Exons: 3
Source: RefSeq, a predicted model, not a curated record
GAGAGGUUCAGGGCUUAGCAGAAGAGGCAGCAGCUUCCUCCAAGGCACAAAGCUCCAUGGCCUCCAGAACCGAGGAGAUGCACUGCUGAGGAAAGCAGGACACAGGUCUAACUCCAUCAGUGUGAGCCACUGUGGAUAUCCUGGCUGACCUCCAGCAGGGGUUGUUGAAAAGAAGAAGACACACAGAAACUUCAGUUUAUAAGCCAGACACCACAGGAGAGUAAGCACACAGCAAGCAGAGAAGAGUGGUUCCAA